RNAcentral lists this transfer RNA (73 nucleotides) under Ipomoea nil (Japanese morning glory). It matches the Rfam family "tRNA". Rfam says of the family: Transfer RNA (tRNA) molecules are approximately 80 nucleotides in length. Their secondary structure includes four short double-helical elements and three loops (D, anti-codon, and T loops). Further hydrogen bonds mediate the characteristic L-shaped molecular structure. tRNAs have two regions of fundamental functional importance: the anti-codon, which is responsible for specific mRNA codon recognition, and the 3' end, to which the tRNAs corresponding amino acid is attached (by aminoacyl-tRNA synthetases). tRNAs cope with the degeneracy of the genetic code in two manners: having more than one tRNA (with a specific anti-codon) for a particular amino acid; and 'wobble' base-pairing, i.e. permitting non-standard base-pairing at the 3rd anti-codon position. The record is from Rfam by way of RNAcentral. Lineage: Eukaryota; Viridiplantae; Streptophyta; Magnoliopsida; Solanales; Convolvulaceae.
GCCUGUCUAGCUCAGUUGGUACAGCGUAAGGCUUUUAACUUUGUGGUUGUGGGUUCGAGCUUUAUGGUGGGUA